UAAGGAAUAUUGGACAAUGGUCGCAAGACUGAUCCAGCCAUGCCGCGUGCAGGAAGACGGCCCUAUGGGUUGUAAACUGCUUUUGUACCAGAGAAAACCUAUCUACGUGUAGAUAGCUGAUAGUAUGGUAAGAAUAAGCAUCGGCUAACUUCGUGCCAGCAGCCGCGGUAAGACGAAGGAUGCAAGCGUUAUCCGGAUUCAUUGGGUUUAAAGGGUGCGUAGGCGGGCUUGUAAGUCAGUGGUGAAAUCUCUCAGCUUAACUGAGAAACUGCCAUUGGUACUGCAGACCUAGAGUAUAGAUGACGUUGGCGGAAUAUGACAUGUAGUGGUGAAAUACUUAGAUAUGUCAUAGAACACCGAUUGCGAAGGCAGGUAACGAAACUAUAACUGACGCUGAGGCACGAAAGUGCGGGGAUCAAACA
Molecule: ribosomal RNA, 422 nt
Filed under: uncultured bacterium
Lineage: Bacteria
Description: bacterial SSU rRNA
Rfam family: Bacterial small subunit ribosomal RNA
Source: RNAcentral